UGGGGUGUCGCCAAGCGGCAAGGCAGUGGGCUUUGACUCCAUUAUUCACAGGUUCGACUCCUGUCACCCCAG
This 72-nucleotide transfer RNA is filed under the name Plagiogramma staurophorum. RNAcentral's name for it is "tRNA-Gln". It matches the Rfam family "tRNA". From Rfam's summary of the family: Transfer RNA (tRNA) molecules are approximately 80 nucleotides in length. Their secondary structure includes four short double-helical elements and three loops (D, anti-codon, and T loops). The record is from RNAcentral. Lineage: Eukaryota; Bacillariophyta; Plagiogrammaphyceae; Plagiogrammales; Plagiogrammaceae.